RNAcentral lists this ribosomal RNA (471 nucleotides) under uncultured bacterium. Its description in RNAcentral is "partial 16S ribosomal RNA". It matches the Rfam family "Bacterial small subunit ribosomal RNA", at positions 28 to 507 of the family's 1533-position model. The record is from RNAcentral.
GACGAACGCUGGCGGCGUGCUUAACACAUGCAAGUCGAACGAUGAGGCGGUGCUUGCACCGUGGAUUAGUGGCGAACGGGUGAGUAAUACGUGAGUGACCUACCUUUGACUCUGGGAUAAGCCUGGGAAACUGGGUCUAAUACCGGAUACGACCAAUCUCUGCAUGGGGUGUUGGUGGAAAGCGUUAUGGAGUGGUUUUAGAUGGGCUCACGGCCUAUCAGCUUGUUGGUGAGGUAAUGGCUUACCAAGGCGACGACGGGUAGCCGGCCUGAGAGGGUGACCGGCCACACUGGGACUGAGACACGGCCCAGACUCCUACGGGAGGCAGCAGUGGGGAAUAUUGCACAAUGGGCGCAAGCCUGAUGCAGCGACGCCGCGUGAGGGAUGACGGCCUUCGGGUUGUAAACCUCUGUUAGCAUCGAAGAAGCGAAAGUGACGGUAGGUGCAGAGAAAGCGCCGGCUAACUACGUG